GCUUUCGUCUGCACCUUUUGUGCUGUGUCGGGAUGCAUUUAGGGUUAGGGUGACGACGACAAGUCUAGCUUAGAUAGUAUAAUCAUUGAUUACGUGAAAAAGAUAGCCCCAUAAAAUAACAAAAUAAUUGACUCAAUCAAUCGAAUAUGAAAAGCUACAGGCACUCAGAAUUCACGGAAUAUUUACUUUUGACUCUGUGCUGAACAAGGGUGGCUUAAACUGGAAGGAACUAGUCAGUGACAGCAGUAAGAAGCUACAGAUUUCUUCUUCUUCUUCUUCUUUCUAUGGUUAUCAUAAAAGUAAUGUGCUGUUCAUUGCAGGGUGGAGAGAACCGAAAGCAACUGAUCGAUGAGACAAAGACAAUUGCUCAAGUCACGCUCUAGUGGCGUUCGAUCAAUUGGGAAGUAGGGCACGGCACCUUCGUCGUCCCGCGCGCAUGCAUGGCCCCCGGGGGGGAGGGUUUGACAAAAACCUGCGAUCACAGAUGAAUGCCCUUCCCAC
RNAcentral lists this long non-coding RNA (501 nucleotides) under Musa acuminata (dwarf banana). RNAcentral's name for it is "long non-coding RNA (MACU_LNC004059)". Lineage: Eukaryota; Viridiplantae; Streptophyta; Magnoliopsida; Zingiberales; Musaceae. The record is from RNAcentral.